Molecule: non-coding RNA, 46 nt
Organism: Schistosoma mansoni
Lineage: Eukaryota; Metazoa; Platyhelminthes; Trematoda; Strigeidida; Schistosomatidae
Source: Rfam
GCACUGCUGAGGAGUUCCACAAUAGGACGAAACGGCCUUCCGGUGA